ACAGAGGGGGCAAGCGUUGUUCGGAAUUACUGGGCGUAAAGGGCUCGUAGGCGGCCUGUUAAGUCGGACGUGAAAUCCCCGGGCUCAACCCGGGAGCUGCGUCCGAUACUGGCAGGCUUGAAUCCGGGAGAGGGAUGUGGAAUUCCAGGUGUAGUGGUGAAAUGCGUAGAUAUCUGGAGGAACACCGGUGGCGAAGGCGGCAUCCUGGACCGGUAUUGACGCUGAGGCGCGAAAGCCAGGGGAGCAAACGGGA
Molecule: ribosomal RNA, 253 nt
Filed under: uncultured prokaryote
Description: partial 16S ribosomal RNA
Rfam family: Bacterial small subunit ribosomal RNA
Source: RNAcentral